This 272-nucleotide unclassified non-coding RNA is filed under the name Hevea brasiliensis (rubber tree). The record is from RNAcentral. Lineage: Eukaryota; Viridiplantae; Streptophyta; Magnoliopsida; Malpighiales; Euphorbiaceae.
AUUGCUCCACGAUAGUAAGCUGUAAAAGCAAUGAGGAAUGAAUGAGCAAGGAAACAAAUGAGAGAUGAAUUGCAAAAUGAUCUUUUGAAACAAAUGCAGGAGGAAGAAGUAGACAACUUUCAGGAAACAGUGCCACAAAGAUACAAGAUAAUUACAUUAACAAUCACUAAAUCUAAACCUACUGAGAGGCCCAUAAAAAUGCAUAGGACAAUUUAUUAGCCUGAUGGGAAGAUUUAAUUCACUUAACUUGACAAUCUUCUCCACACAGAGGU